GACGAACGCUGGCGGCGUGCUUAACACAUGCAAGUCGAACGGAAAGGCCCUGCUUUUGUGGGGUGCUCGAGUGGCGAACGGGUGAGUAACACGUGAGUAACCUGCCCUUGACUUUGGGAUAACUUCAGGAAACUGGGGCUAAUACCGGAUAGGAGCUCCUGCUGCAUGGUGGGGGUUGGAAAGUUUCGGCGGUUGGGGAUGGACUCGCGGCUUAUCAGCUUGUUGGUGGGGUAGUGGCUUACCAAGGCUUUGACGGGUAGCCGGCCUGAGAGGGUGACCGGCCACAAUGGGACUGAGAUACGGCCCAGGCUCCUACGGGAGGCAGCAGUGGGGAAUAUUGCACAAUGGGCGGAAGCCUGAUGCAGCAACGCCGCGUGCGGGAUGACGGCCUUCGGGUUGUAAACCGCUUUCGCCUGUGACGAAGCGUGAGUGACGGUAAUGGGUAAAGAAGCACCGGCUAACUACGUG
RNAcentral lists this ribosomal RNA (468 nucleotides) under uncultured bacterium. RNAcentral describes it as "partial 16S ribosomal RNA". It matches the Rfam family "Bacterial small subunit ribosomal RNA", at positions 28 to 507 of the family's 1533-position model. The record is from RNAcentral.